Molecule: long non-coding RNA, 885 nt
Filed under: Oryctolagus cuniculus (rabbit)
Lineage: Eukaryota; Metazoa; Chordata; Mammalia; Lagomorpha; Leporidae
Description: lncRNA (ENSOCUG00000030768.1)
Source: RNAcentral
AUGAUACCGGUAUUUGAGGAUAGUCGAGAAGAUAAAAUAAGACUGUGCGUGCGAGGAGCUCUGCAAACCGGAACCCACAGCUGGAGGCUGGGCGGAGGAGAGUUCCCACCCCUGACUACCCUUGAUAGGACACACGGUCUCCAUGAGCCCAAACCGGGCCAAGCCUUCUGCACACCGUGGAAAAUCCUUGAGGUGAGACCCUGCUGGUGAGAAUCCGGAGCUGGGUGGCCCUGGGCGCUGACGCAGUCCGGCUGUGCAGGGUUGCGCAAGUCCGAGCUGCUGGGGGCGGGGGGGCAUCGUCGGGGUUGCGGGCUGCACUCUGCACACCGCAGGCUCCCCCGGGAGGUUGAUCAAUGGUGGCUUUUGUGUUUUUAAAAACUCCUGCCCUGUUUUGCCUGUGUGAGAGCCGGGGGCUGUGAGAGAAGGGGCCAGUGGAGGGCUCAGUUGCGGGAGGUGCACACUGGACUCUCAUAGGAGUUGCCUUAAGCCUGUGCCUAGAGGAGGAUUUGUCCACCAAGUUAGCUGCUCAUACCCACUCUUCUGUAUGUGAGCCUAGCUUCCCUCUUCUCCCUCCCAGGGGGAUCCCAGACACUGUUCCAGAAACAGCUACUUUAUUUUUUUUAUAUUUUUAUUUUUUUGUUUGAGAGGCAGAGUCACAGACAGAGAGAGGGAGAGAGACACAGCGAGGUCACUCCCCAAAUGGCUGCAACGGCUGGAGCUGGGCUGAUCUGAAGCCAGGAAACAGGAACUUCCUCCAGGUCUCCCUGGGCCAUACUCUGUUGUUUUCCCAAGUGUGUUAGCAGGGAGCUGGCUCGGAAGAGGAGCAGCCGGAACAUGAACCAGCGCCUAUAUGGGUGGAGGUUCAGCCUACCGCGCCACAGCGCU